AGCUUUGCGCAGUGGCAGUAUCAUAGUCAAUGAGGUUUAUCCGAGGUGUGAUUAUUGCUAAUUCAAAUAUUUAAAGUAUACUUCGUAUUUUGAAAAACCAAAUUAAAGUUGAAUUAUAGAAUCUGAAAGAUGA
The sequence is a small nuclear RNA, 133 nucleotides long. Its record names the gene U4. It matches the Rfam family "U4 spliceosomal RNA". From Rfam's summary of the family: U4 small nuclear RNA (U4 snRNA) is a component of the major U2-dependent spliceosome. The structure of U4 snRNA from yeast and human has been reported. The record is from Ensembl.